RNAcentral lists this ribosomal RNA (1185 nucleotides) under Nesterenkonia xinjiangensis. Its description in RNAcentral is "bacterial SSU rRNA". It matches the Rfam family "Bacterial small subunit ribosomal RNA", at positions 45 to 1240 of the family's 1533-position model. The record is from RNAcentral. Lineage: Bacteria; Bacillati; Actinomycetota; Actinomycetes; Micrococcales; Micrococcaceae.
UGCUUACACAUGCAAGUCGAACGAUGAAGCCCGUGCUUGCACGGGUGGAUUAGUGGCGAACGGGUGAGUAUCACGUGAGUAACCUGCCCUUGACUCUGGGAUAAGCCUGGGAAACUGGGUCUAAUACCGGAUACGACCAGUCCCCGCAUGGGGUGCUGGUGGAAAGAUUUUAUCGGUCUUGGAUGGACUCGCGGCCUAUCAGCUAGACGGUGGGGUAGAAGCCCACCGUGGCGAUGACGGGUAGCCGGCCUGAGAGGGUGACCGGCCACACUGGGACUGAGACACGGCCCAGACUCCUACGGGAGGCAGCAGUGGGGAAUAUUGCACAAUGGGCGCAAGCCUGAUGCAGCGACGCCGCGUGCGGGAUGACGGCCUUCGGGUUGUAAACCGCUUUCAGCAGGGAAGAAGCUUUUGUGACGGUACCUGCAGAAGAAGCGCCGGCUAACUACGUGCCAGCAGCCGCGGUAAUACGUAGGGCGCGAGCGUUAUCCGGAAUUAUUGGGCGUAAAGAGCUCGUAGGCGGCUUGUCGCGUCUGCUGUGAAAGCCCGGGGCUUAACUCCGGGUGUGCAGUGGGUACGGGCAGGCUAGAGUGCAGUAGGGGAGACUGGAAUUCCUGGUGUAGCGGUGAAAUGCGCAGAUAUCAGGAGGAACACCGAUGGCGAAGGCAGGUCUCUGGGCUGUUACUGACGCUGAGGAGCGAAAGCAUGGGGAGCGAACAGGAUUAGAUACCCUGGUAGUCCAUGCCGUAAACGUUGGGCACUAGGUGUGGGGGACAUUCCACGUUUUCCGCGCCGUAGCUAACGCAUUAAGUGCCCCGCCUGGGGAGUACGGCCGCAAGGCUAAAACUCAAAGGAAUUGACGGGGGCCCGCACAAGCGGCGGAGCAUGCGGAUUAAUUCGAUGCAACGCGAAGAACCUUACCAAGGCUUGACAUGGACCGGAUCGCUGCAGAGAUGUAGUUUCCCUUCGGGGCUGGUUCACAGGUGGUGCAUGGUUGUCGUCAGCUCGUGUCGUGAGAUGUUGGGUUAAGUCCCGCAACGAGCGCAACCCUUAUCCUAUGUUGCCAGCACGUGAUGGUGGGGACUCAUGGGAGACUGCCGGGGUCAACUCGGAGGAAGGUGGGAUGACGUCAAAUCAUCAUGCCCCUUAUGUCUUGGGCUUCACGCAUGCUACAAUGGCCGGUAC